This 225-nucleotide long non-coding RNA is filed under the name Mytilus galloprovincialis (Mediterranean mussel). Lineage: Eukaryota; Metazoa; Mollusca; Bivalvia; Mytilida; Mytilidae. The record is from RNAcentral.
GGCGUUGGAAUUUUGAAAAUGUCUGCCGUUAACAUGGAAACAAUGCAAAACAGGUCAAAAUGGUCCAAAAACCUUAAAGUGGCAUUAACUUUCUUAAUAUGGUAGGUCAAAUGGAUCGAAACUUUGAUGGUAUGGUCCCUCCCAUGUACCAAUGUGGUAUAUGCCAUUAACUUUUGGGAAUGGUCUCUGUUGCCAUAGGAACCAUCACAAAUGUCAAAAAUUUCA